This 436-nucleotide ribosomal RNA is filed under the name uncultured bacterium. RNAcentral's name for it is "bacterial SSU rRNA". It matches the Rfam family "Bacterial small subunit ribosomal RNA", at positions 340 to 769 of the family's 1533-position model. The record is from RNAcentral.
UACGGGAGGCAGCAGUGGGGAAUAUUGCACAAUGGGCGCAAGCCUGAUGCAGCCAUGCCGCGUGUAUGAAGAAGGCCUUCGGGUUGUAAAGUACUUUCAGUCGUGAGGAAGGUGUUAAGGUUAAUAACCUUAGCAAUUGACGUUAGCGACAGAAGAAGCACCGGCUAACUCCGUGCCAGCAGCCGCGGUAAUACGGAGGGUGCGAGCGUUAAUCGGAAUUACUGGGCGUAAAGGGCACGCAGGCGGUUAAUUAAGUUGGAUGUGAAAUCCCCGGGCUUAACCUGGGAAUGGCAUUCAAGACUGGUUAGCUAGAGUCUUGUAGAGGGGGUUAGAAUUCCAUGUGUAGCGGUGAAAUGCGUAGAGAUGUGGAGGAAUACCGGUGGCGAAGGCGGCCCCUGGACAAAGACUGACGCUCAUGUGCGAAAGCGUGGGGAGC